RNAcentral lists this Y RNA (102 nucleotides) under Colobus angolensis palliatus. RNAcentral's name for it is "Y RNA (ENSCANG00000017052.1)". It matches the Rfam family "Y RNA". From Rfam's summary of the family: Y RNAs are components of the Ro ribonucleoprotein particle (Ro RNP), in association with Ro60 and La proteins. The Y RNAs and Ro60 and La proteins are well conserved, but the function of the Ro RNP is not known. In humans the RNA component can be one of four small RNAs -- hY1, hY3, hY4 and hY5. Lineage: Eukaryota; Metazoa; Chordata; Mammalia; Primates; Cercopithecidae. The record is from Rfam by way of RNAcentral.
GGCUGGUUUGAAUGCAGUGGUAUUUACAACUAACUGAUCACAACCAGUUACAGAUUUAUUUGUUUCUUCUCCACUCCCACUGCUUCACUUGACUAGCCUUUG